GGGAAAGUAGUCUAGCUUGGUAUGAUUCUUGGUCCGGAUGGUAGAGGUCGGGGGUUCAAAUCCCCUCUUUCCCA
This 74-nucleotide transfer RNA is filed under the name archaeon. Its description in RNAcentral is "tRNA-Pro". It matches the Rfam family "tRNA". From Rfam's summary of the family: Transfer RNA (tRNA) molecules are approximately 80 nucleotides in length. Their secondary structure includes four short double-helical elements and three loops (D, anti-codon, and T loops). The record is from RNAcentral.